UACGUAGGGUGCAAGCGUUGUCCGGAAUUAUUGGGCGUAAAGAGCUCGUAGGCGGUCUGUCGCGUCUGCUGUGAAAACUCGGGGCUUAACCCCGGGCCUGCAGUGGGUACGGGCAGACUAGAGUGCGGUAGGGGAGACUGGAAUUCCUGGUGUAGCGGUGAAAUGCGCAGAUAUCGGAAGGAACACCAGUGGCGAAAGCGGCUUCCUGGUCCAGCACCGACGUUCAGGCACGAAAGCGUGGGGAGCAAACAGG
This 253-nucleotide ribosomal RNA is filed under the name uncultured bacterium. Its description in RNAcentral is "partial 16S ribosomal RNA". It matches the Rfam family "Bacterial small subunit ribosomal RNA", at positions 524 to 776 of the family's 1533-position model. The record is from RNAcentral.